RNAcentral lists this ribosomal RNA (253 nucleotides) under uncultured archaeon. RNAcentral describes it as "partial 16S ribosomal RNA". It matches the Rfam family "Archaeal small subunit ribosomal RNA", at positions 474 to 726 of the family's 1478-position model. The record is from RNAcentral.
CACCAGCGCCACGAGUGGGAAUCUCGUAUAUUGGGUCUAAAGCGUCCGUAGCCGGUUUAGCAAGUCUUUUGUGAAAUCUCUAGGCCUAACCUAGAGGCGUGCUUGAGAUACUACUUAACUUGGGACUAGGAGGAGUCAGAGGUAUUUCUGGGGGAGCGGUAAAAUGCUAUAAUCCCAGAAGGACCACCUGUGGCGAAGGCGUCUGACCAGCAUAGAUCCGACGGUGAGGGACGAAAGCUAGGGGAGCAAUCCG